Molecule: ribosomal RNA, 492 nt
Filed under: uncultured bacterium
Lineage: Bacteria
Description: partial 16S ribosomal RNA
Rfam family: Bacterial small subunit ribosomal RNA
Source: RNAcentral
AGUGAACGCUGGCGGUAGGCCUAACACAUGCAAGUCGAACGGCAGCACAGUAAGAGCUUGCUCUUACGGGUGGCGAGUGGCGGACGGGUGAGGAAUACAUCGGAAUCUACUUUUUCGUGGGGGAUAACGUAGGGAAACUUACGCUAAUACCGCAUACGACCUACGGGUGAAAGCAGGGGAUCUUCGGACCUUGCGCGAUUGAAUGAGCCGAUGUCGGAUUAGCUAGUUGGCGGGGUAAAGGCCCACCAAGGCGACGAUCCGUAGCUGGUCUGAGAGGAUGAUCAGCCACACUGGAACGGAGACACGGUCCAGACUCCGACGGGAGGCAGCAGUGGGGAAUAUUGGACAAUGGGCGCAAGCCUGAUCCAGCCAUACCGCGUGGGUGAAGAAGGCCUUCGGGUUGUAAAGCCCUUUUGUUGGGAAAGAAAAGCAGCAGGUUAAUACCCCGCUGUUCUGACGGUACCCAAAGAAUAAGCACCGGCUAACUUCGUG